Molecule: ribosomal RNA, 253 nt
Filed under: uncultured bacterium
Lineage: Bacteria
Description: partial 16S ribosomal RNA
Rfam family: Bacterial small subunit ribosomal RNA
Source: RNAcentral
UACGUAGGGCGCAAGCGUUGUCCGGAAUUAUUGGGCGUAAAGCGCUCGUAGGCGGUUUGUCGCGUCUGCUGUGAAAACCUAAGGCUCAACCUUGGGCUUGCAGUGGGUACGGGCAGACUAGAGUGCGGUAGGGGGGACUGGAAUUCCUGGUGUAGCGGUGGAAUGCGCAGAUAUCAGGAGGAACACCGAUGGCGAAGGCAGGUCACUGGGCCGCAACUGACGCUGAGGAGCGAAAGCAUGGGGAGCGAACGGG